This 396-nucleotide long non-coding RNA is filed under the name Hordeum vulgare. Its description in RNAcentral is "long non-coding RNA (HVUL_LNC020921)". The record is from RNAcentral. Lineage: Eukaryota; Viridiplantae; Streptophyta; Magnoliopsida; Poales; Poaceae.
CCUCGUCGACCACACGACACAAGGCUACAACCGCACCAAAACACACACCCUCGGGUCCGGAGCCGUCGCUCCGACUUCCACCACUUGUAGGCGAGCCGCACCGCUGCACAACACCGAGGCCUUGUAGCCCAUGCUACACAAAACGCUCGCCUGUAGACCACUGGCGGCUCCAGCGCACGGGAACACCACCAUUGUAGACGAAGAGCUCCAAUCAACCGAGACCAUACAUCAUGCCUCAAGGCUAUUGGUGCAGCCGAAGGGCAAUGCGUGACCGAGUCCAUACCCAGAUCAAGAGUCACACGCACCUGAGGCAACAUCACAAUAGCGGCACCCCUGACGAAGCCGAGGGGCAUCAAGGAGCCAGUCUACACCCGGAUUGCUUCACUAUAUACACAA